AGGGGUAAACAGAUGAUCAGUUGACUUGUUUAUUUUUCGUUUACUCUGGUUUAACCUCACUUAACUAGAUAUAUCGAGAAAUAUUAAAUUACUAUUAUUCAGGUUGAAAAACGCCUUCCUCUAAGGUAAAAGGUUGUGAAGUCGAUUGGGGAAAAAUAAUGUGAAAAUGAAUUCUUUCCCAAAAGAAUCUGAACGACGGAAAGUGUGGAUUAAGAAUAUAGGGUUAAAACAAGAUCCAAACAAAUAUGCUGUUGUUUGUGAAGAACACUACUUCUGACAUGUGGAAAAAAGUUAGACAAGAUGGCAGCAGAAAAUUAAAAUGCAAUGCUGUACCAACAAUAUUUAGAGAAGAAAGCGAAAAUAUUUAAUUAUUUAUAUUGGUUUUUUGUUUAUUCACCAAUUUAACACCUAUAGAUAUUUGUAUAACAAGAGAGUGAAGUGCACCUUUUCCUCCCAAGAAUAAAGUUUACAUAGUUUACUACAGACUACAGUAAUCAUUCAAGGGAGGAAAAGGCACUUCUCCCAUUUUAUACAUUUUUCCACCUCCCUCAAAUAAGUCAUUUUUUCAUUUUUAAAAUAUUUAUAUAACUGUUGAUUGAAUACGUGAAUCAUAAUUGAAUACAGGAAUUUUUGUAUUCAAUCAACAAUAGAACUAACAAAAUUUAUUAGAGAACUAAAACUAACAAGUAGGUACAGUAUAACUAUCAAAUUAUUAAUGAAAAAUUUUUAAAUCAAAAUAACAAUUUACUGUUAUUACCAUUUUGCAACAUCUAUAAAUAAAAUUUAAAAUGUAUGGAUACUUACCUAAUAGAAAAUAGAGUAAUAGUAUAGGGUGUCAAUAAGUUAUUUCAUCUAUGCUAUGACAUAGUAUGACGUCAACAUCACUUUUACUUUUAUUCCCUAGGGAUUAAAAGUACUUUGUUUCCCUAGGGAGAAAAAAAUAUGACUAUGCUCCCUACAAUGAGGCCAGGAAAUGUAUACUUUGGAUAGAGGUAGGUGGGAAAAUCUGUUUUAUUCAGUUAUUGUGAUUUGUUUCUUACAGACAAUCGGUUUGUUCUAGCACGAGUUUCAAACGGUCUGAAACUAUUAGCGAAUAGUGGACCAGCGUGAGUAGAGGGGAUAGCACUCAUAACUGUAUUAUGUUCUCUCACUGACCAACUGUUUGCUGACUAGUUCGACUGUUUGCUAGAACAAACCUAUUAUUCAAACAAAAUGUCCUCUACGUCAGACUGAUCAGAAUUUUAAAAAUGUGUCAUAUCAAUCAAAUCAAAAAAUUUCAAAAAUUGUUCCUGUAACCAUUUUUAGUGGAAAUAAUAACAGUACUUAUAUUGGAUCAGAGAGCCACCCAUUUCAUUGUUAAAGUAUGAUAAACUAAAAGUUAAACAAUUAGGCAUGCACUUUAUAUUAUAUUUAAUGAAAUAUAACCCACUGGUACUCGUACAAACUUGACGGCAAGCAAAUAAAUUCAACAAAUUUUUCCUCAUUUAUUAGUUUUUCACUACCGUUAAGUUUGGAAACAAGCACUGUUGCCAAAUAAAAACAUAUACAGUCGGAAAAAUGAAAGAAUACCCAUGAACGAUCACAUCAAUCACAUAUUUUGUAUUUGCUGUUUUUUUUUCAUAAAUAAUAAAUGAGAGAGAUAGAUUAUUAAUAAUCUGAAUAAUAUGUGAUUGAUGUGAUCGUUCAUGGGUAUUCUUUCAUUUUUAGGACGGUAUGUAUUUACCACAGCAACUACAGGUGACACUGUUUCUCUUUGUCUUUAAGAGUGUGAAACAAAGAUAACUACAGUGGGAAAAAUAAAGAAUACCCAUGAACGAUCACAUCGAUCUCUUAUUUUGUGUUUCCUAUCUUUUUCUAUAACAAACGUUUAUUAUUUAUAGAAAAAGACAACAAACAUAAAUUAAGUGAUUGAUGUGAUCGUUCAUGGGUAUUCUUUCAUUUUUCCAACUGUAUCUAAUAUACGCUGAGCUCGUAGGUAGAGGGGAUAAUUAAAAAAUCGCGAGAGCCAGUAGUGACAAGUCUGUAAACCUUUACUGGAAAUUUGACAUAAAUGUCAAAGUGAAUAAUUUAAAAUUGAAAUUAAAAACAUUAAUUAGAAAAAAUAUUAGUUGGUCAAAGCUGUGGUAUAUAUUUUUAUCUUAAGUAUACUUACGGUUUAAAUACUGAAUUAAGUUUUUUAAUAUUUUGUAAUAUCUAAUUAUAAUUAGAUAUAAAUCAUCUAAGCGCCAUCUACACGAUAAUUGUGAAUGUAUCUGAAGUAAGAAAUUAAUAUUUCAUUAAGAGAACGUUAAAACAGUUAGCAAAAUUUUUAAAAAAUCGAUUACAAUUUAAUUACUUUUUUGCGUUGUAAAUAUUAAGCGAUAAAAUUAAAUAAUAAAUUUAAAAAUUACUGGUGAAAGUUGAAUUAGCAAUCCGCUAGAAGCGACACCAGCGAAGCUCAGAGCGUAUAAGUGGGUGCGUUUGGACGACCAUAGCGGCCGACUGUCAGCAGAAAUCGGCUGAGUGGUUGUAUCCAGCUGUGAUAGGGAAAGCUUAGUAAAUCUCUCAGCGGCUGACUUCCAGCGGUGACGUCUGACAGCUACUACUGGCUCAGCUGUCCAGCCGCUGUGGUCAUCCGAACGCACCCAGUGUCAGUCAUGUUUUCCUAUAGUAUAGAAGGCUUAGAUAGGUUAUGUAAGAUUUUUGUUUGUUUAUUUUUUCUUCUUCUUUUGUGGCCUUUGGAAGCUGUGCCCAUUUAGCCAGCAACAUUUCUUAAAAUUAAUGCCUAACUAAACCUACCCUACAAGAAAACCAUUACGAACCUAAACGACCAAUCAAGGAUACGGAAGGGAAAGUAGUUAUUUAAAAAAUAAACUGUUGUUAAAAUAUAAACUAAAUAAAUAAAAUAUAAAUUGAAAACAAUAAUUUGACAUUAUAAAUGUAACCUCCAAUAUUAUGACAGACGUCAGUUACCAUGACAUCAUAUAUUAUACUCGUCACUAAUUCUAGCCAAUGAAAUGCUUGCUAUAAUAGGAAUGGCAUAUCAAAAAAAUCUGACUAUUCUCUAUAUAUUUUUUCAAAUUUAGAAUAUGGCAACAAGGGGAAAGUUAUGUGCAUUCCUCAUUGUUUGACUUUUCCUAUAUCUUUAGUAUCAGGUCAUCGUACAAUACAAAUACUUCCUGCAAUGAUUGGAAGUAAUGCAGAACAAGAAUUGAAUUUGGAAUCGCCGAGAAAAAGGAUUGGUGUACAAAAUAAGAAAGUUUAUAAAGGACAACAAACAUCUUCCAUAAGCGAUCAAAAUUGUAUAACUGAAAUUCAGGAAAUAGAUUCUGCUCCACCUUUAGGUAUAAAAAAUAUUUUGACAUUUUUUUUAUUUAAUACACAAUUUAAUUUACCAUCUGAUCAUGAAGCUAUAAGUAAAUGGUGUGAAUAUUGAACACAUGAGGGAGAAGCUGCCAUGUGGCAACUCUCCUGUAUAAUACAUUUUAUAUUAGUUCACAUAAAUAGUUAAUUUAUUAAGUCUGUUGGCCAUGGUUUCUUCAGUCACCUUUCAAAUCCAGGAGGGGUAUUUAGCAGUCUUGAUUCGUUACUUGGAUGAUCCGUUGUCCAUCAAGGAAGUUUCUUGUGAUUAUUCUAAUUUCUUCCUCUACCAAGGAUGUGGCAGAGUCAUCUUGUAUAGAGUUUUGUUCAAGUGUAAACACUUUUUUGCGCCAGUCCAGAGCUGUCUGCCAGCGCUGUCUUGAAUAGAAAGGUGGUCUAUUUUUCAUGCCACUGGCAUUCCAGUGAGACUGGCACCAGUUUCUGGAUACAUGUAAACGUUACUUUAUUUUAUGUAAAUAUUAUUUUCAUUCUAGAAUCAAAGGGAGACUCUUUUAACAGGUAAAUGACGCUAUCAUUCUUUUUGUUCUAGAAAAACUGUAAAUAGUAUUUAAGGCAACGAUUGUGAAUGAGUGAGAAGUCUAAUAAAGCCACGACGAGAUACUGUAUUAGAGCAUACGAUUUUGAGGUAUUUUUGAUUAGAUAAAUUUUGUAAAGUACAAUAUAAAUUAGAUUUGAUAAUGUGUAGUAUUUCCUAAUAAAUUAAAUACUAUUAAGUGUUUAUUGUUCUUGUAAGUUAGUGUGGUAAAUAAAUAAUAUGAAGUAA
RNAcentral lists this long non-coding RNA (4123 nucleotides) under Diabrotica virgifera virgifera (western corn rootworm). RNAcentral's name for it is "uncharacterized LOC126880140". The record is from RNAcentral. Lineage: Eukaryota; Metazoa; Arthropoda; Insecta; Coleoptera; Chrysomelidae.